Molecule: ribosomal RNA, 468 nt
Filed under: uncultured bacterium
Lineage: Bacteria
Description: partial 16S ribosomal RNA
Rfam family: Bacterial small subunit ribosomal RNA
Source: RNAcentral
GACGAACGCUGGCGGCGUGCUUAACACAUGCAAGUCGAACGGAAAGGCCCUGCUUUUGUGGGGUGCUCGAGUGGCGAACGGGUGAGUAACACGUGAGUAACCUGCCCUUGACUUUGGGAUAACUUCAGGAAACUGGGGCUAAUACCGGAUAGGAGCUCCUGCUGCAUGGUGGGGGUUGGAAAGUUUCGGCGGUUGGGGAUGGACUCGCGGCUUAUCAGCUUGUUGGUGGGGUAGUGGCUUACCAAGGCUUUGACGGGUAGCCGGCCUGAGAGGGUGACCGGCCACAUUGGGACUGAGAGACGGCCCAGACUCCUACGGGAGGCAGCAGUGGGGAAUAUUGCACAAUGGGCGGAAGCCUGAUGCAGCAACGCCGCGUGCGGGAUGACGGCCUUCGGGUUGUAAACCGCUUUCGCAUGUGACGAAGCGUGAGUGACGGUAAUGGGUAAAGAAGCACCGGCUAACUACGUG